CACGUAGGGCGCAAGCGUUGUCCGGAAUUAUUGGGCGUAAAGAGCUCGUAGGCGGUCUGUUACGUCUGCUGUGAAAACCCGGGGCUUAACCCUGGGCUUGCAGUGGAUACGGGCAGACUAGAGGCAGGUAGGGGAGAAUGGAAUUCCCGGUGUAGCGGUGAAAUGCGCAGAUAUCGGGAGGAACACCGGUGGCGAAGGCGGCAUCCUGGACCGGUAUUGACACUGAGGCGCGAAAGCUAGGGGAGCAAACGGG
This 253-nucleotide ribosomal RNA is filed under the name uncultured bacterium. RNAcentral describes it as "partial 16S ribosomal RNA". It matches the Rfam family "Bacterial small subunit ribosomal RNA", at positions 524 to 776 of the family's 1533-position model. The record is from RNAcentral.